This 2256-nucleotide ribosomal RNA is filed under the name Triticum aestivum (bread wheat). RNAcentral describes it as "partial small subunit ribosomal RNA". The record is from RNAcentral. Lineage: Eukaryota; Viridiplantae; Streptophyta; Magnoliopsida; Poales; Poaceae.
AUGGCAAUACCCUCCCAGCUGCUGCCAUAUCUCCUUGCAGCAGCAGCGGCGUUCUUGAUCUUGCCUGCGAUUGCGGAACAACGAGGACUAGAAGAGCAGCAGCAGCAGCAGCAGGCGGUAGUGGCACGUCCGCGCUGCCAGGACAUGUGCGGCAACAUCAGCAUUCCCUUCCCCUUCGGCAUGGGGAAGCCCAGGUGCUUCCUUCCUGGCUUCGAGGUCAUCUGCAACACCUCCUCGUCCGGUCGCCCCCGCCUGUUCCUUGCGUACAACGAGAGCGGGCCAGUCCAGGUGGUGAGUGCUCUGAACCACAGGUUCACCGCCCGCAACGUCACUGCUUCCUUUGUGAUGAAGAACGCCGUGGAACUCAUGGACAUAUCAGUUGCUCACAACGAGGCCCGGGCAUACAGGGCGGUCAGCUCCGCCUGCAGCACAAAUAGUACACAUUUCCGUGCCAAGUUCCAAUACACAAACUUGGGUGACGAGGGCCCGUUCCUCCUGUCGGCGAUGAGAAAUGUUCUCAUCGGUGUCGGCUCCAACGUCGAGUCCAUGAUGAUGACCUCAACCGGGGAGACGGGGAAUGAGAUGAAAGCGUACAUGCCGUCCUGCCUUUCCAACCUCAUGGGGAAGCUCAAGUACGCGACAGACGGUAACGGUACAUGCUCCGGGUUGGGAUGCUGUCAAGCUGCCUUGCCCCUGAAUGUGACUGAGUUUGGAGUCUCGUUCAUGCCCCGGCUCAACCUACUGUGGCAAACCAAUCCGUGCUUCUAUGGCAUGCUGGUGGAGAAAUCCUGGUACAACUUCUCUGUGCACGACUUGUAUGGCCGCGAGCUGUUAUACCCCAGGGGUGUACCCGUUGUGCUGGAGUUCGCCAUCAGGAACCUUGGUUCAUGUCCACCGGAAGGACAGCAGAAACCUCAGGGCUAUGCGUGCAUCAGCGGCAACAGCACUUGUGUCAACACCACCAGAGGCGAUGACUAUGUCUGCAAGUGCUUGGAGCAUUACGAUGGCAACCCAUACAUCAUUGGUGGAUGCCUUGACAUAGAUGAAUGCAAGCUCCCUGAUUCGUAUCCUUGCUGGAAUGGCGGGAUCUGCAGCAACAGGCUGGAAGGCUAUGACUGUCCAUGCAAAUCUGGAAUGAAUGGCAAAACCGGACACUGCGUGGAAAAUUUCCCUCUGCCAGCAAAGGUGAUUGUGGGCCUUGCUGCUUGUAUUGUUGUACUUGUCGUCAUGGUUAUGGCCCGUCAACUCCUGACACUCAAGAGGUUCUAUGAACAAAAUGGUGGACCAGUACUAAAAGGUGUAAAGAACAUAAAGAUAUAUAGAAGGAAAGAAAUGAAACAAAUUACAAAUAACUACAAUCGUGUCAUUGGAGAAGGAAACUUCGGGAAGGUUUAUAUGGGGACUCUAGAAAAUAAACAACAAGUGGCUAUAAAGAGGUCCAUCAAAGUUGACAAGAAUAUGAAGGCAGAAUUCACUGGCGAAGUUAUAGUACAAUCUGAGAUGAGACACAAGAACAUUGCAAGGCUCCUAGGUUGUUGCUUAGAGCUGGAUGUUCCAAUGUUGGUAUACGAAUAUGUAUCAAGAGGGAGUCUAUAUGAUGCUCUAUUUGGAUUGAGGCGUGUACAUAUCAUACCGGUAGAUAUGCGCCUACAAAUUGCUGUUGGGUCAGCUGAAGGACUAACAUACAUGCAUUCAGCAGGGGAGAGUACAAUCCGUCAUGGUGAUGUUAAAUCUGCCAAUAUUCUUCUUGAUGAAAAUUUCUGCCCUAAAGUCUCAGACUUUGGUACCUCGAGGUUGCUCGCAGGAGGAAAGUCCGAGAAGACUGAACGUGUCGUCGGGGACAUGAGUUACAUAGAUCCGAUAUAUAUGGACCAGGGGAUUGUUACACAGAAGAGUGAUGUCUACAGCUUUGGGGUUGUUCUUAUAGAGCUUAUCACGAGGAGGCCCGCAACAUACUCUAACAAGAGGAACUAUGUUACAAGCUUUGUCGAAGCGUAUCUAGACAAAAGAGUAAGAAACUUGAUUGACAAUGAUAUCACAAGUGAGGUGGAUAUUAAACUCUUGGAAAUGGUCAGUGGAGUUGCCAUGGAGUGUGUAAAACUUAAUCCCGAAGAACGCCUAGAUAUGAAACAAGUAGAGCAUCGUCUCCUCGAAAUUAUUGGUCAAGGUGUGCAGAAUGGACAAGGGAGAAACUACCAGGCAGAUCUCGGUCCUGCGCCGGAUGAUGUUGCUUUGCUCAAGUCUUGGGGAGAAUGA